UACGUAGGGGCAAGCGUUGUCCGGAAUUACUGGGCGUAAAGGGUGCGUAGGUGGUUUCUUAAGUCAGAGGUGAAAGGCUACGGCUCAACCGUAGUAAGCCUUUGAAACUGGGAAACUUGAGUGCAGGAGAGGAGAGUGGAAUUCCUAGUGUAGCGGUGAAAUGCGUAGAUAUUAGGAGGAACACCAGUUGCGAAGGCGGCUCUCUGGACUGUAACUGACACUGAGGCACGAAAGCGUGGGGAGCAAACAGGAUUAGAUACCCUGGUAGUCCCUGAG
RNAcentral lists this ribosomal RNA (276 nucleotides) under uncultured prokaryote. RNAcentral's name for it is "partial 16S ribosomal RNA". It matches the Rfam family "Bacterial small subunit ribosomal RNA", at positions 524 to 801 of the family's 1533-position model. The record is from RNAcentral.